This 494-nucleotide ribosomal RNA is filed under the name uncultured bacterium. RNAcentral's name for it is "partial 16S ribosomal RNA". It matches the Rfam family "Bacterial small subunit ribosomal RNA", at positions 28 to 507 of the family's 1533-position model. The record is from RNAcentral.
GACGAACGCUGGCGGCGAGCUUAACACAUGCAAGUCGAACGGAAAGGCCUGCUUUCCCUUGUGGAUUGCGGGUACUCGAGUGGCGAACGGGUGAGUAACACGUGAGUGAUCUGCCCCCAACUUGGGUAUAAGCCUGGGAAACUGGGUCUAAUUCCCGAUAGGACUGCAGGGUGGUGCCUGUGGUGGAAAACGAUUUUCUAGUGGUUGGGGAUGAGCUCGCGGCCUAUCAGCUUGUUGGUGGGGUAAUGGCCUACCAAGGCGGCGACGGGUAGCCGGCCUGAGAGGGUGGACGGCGACAGUGGGACUGAGAUACGGCCCAGACUCCUACGGGAGGCAGCAGUGGGGAAUAUUGCACAAUGGGCGGAAGCCUGAUGCAGCGACGCCGCGUGGGGGAUGACGGCCUUCGGGUUGCAAACUCCUUUCGACCGCGAGGAAGCCACCUGGUUGGAAGGGUGGUGACGGUAGUGGUAGAAGAAGCACCGGCUAACUACGUG